RNAcentral lists this ribosomal RNA (301 nucleotides) under uncultured bacterium. RNAcentral's name for it is "partial 16S ribosomal RNA". It matches the Rfam family "Bacterial small subunit ribosomal RNA", at positions 509 to 811 of the family's 1533-position model. The record is from RNAcentral.
CAGUAGCCGCGGGAAUACAGAGGGUGCGAGCGUUAAUCGGAUUUACUGGGCGUAAAGCGUGCGUAGGCGGCUUCUUAAGUCGGAUGUGAAAUCCCUGAGCUUAACUUAGGAAUUGCAUUCGAUACUGGGAAGCUAGAGUAUGGGAGAGGAUGGUAGAAUUCCAGGUGUAGCGGUAAUGCGUAGAGAUCUGGAGGAAUACCGAUGGCGAAGGCAGCCAUCUGGCCUAAUACUGACGCUGAGGUACGAAAGCAUGGGGAGCAAACAGGAUUAGAUACCCGCGUAGUCCCUGUCUUUUAUACAC